CCGGGUAAGGCCCCCGCCCAGACCAGCGGGUUGAUAGGCCGGAAGUGGAAGCACCGCGAGGUGUGUGAGCUGACCGGUACUAACAGGCCGAGGGCUUGACCAC
RNAcentral lists this ribosomal RNA (103 nucleotides) under Geodermatophilus obscurus. RNAcentral's name for it is "23S rRNA. Bacterial LSU". It matches the Rfam family "Bacterial large subunit ribosomal RNA", at positions 2824 to 2925 of the family's 2925-position model. The record is from RNAcentral. Lineage: Bacteria; Bacillati; Actinomycetota; Actinomycetes; Geodermatophilales; Geodermatophilaceae.